This 375-nucleotide ribosomal RNA is filed under the name uncultured bacterium. RNAcentral's name for it is "bacterial SSU rRNA". It matches the Rfam family "Bacterial small subunit ribosomal RNA", at positions 521 to 896 of the family's 1533-position model. The record is from RNAcentral.
UAAGACGAACCGUGCAAACGUUGUUCGGAAUCACUGGGCUUAAAGGGCGCGUAGGCGGGUCUCCCAGUCUGUGGUGAAAGCCCCCGGCUCAACCGGGGAAGUGCCGUGGAUACUGGAGACCUCGAGGAGGGUAGGGGCAUCUGGAACGGUCGGUGGAGCGGUGAAAUGCGUUGAUAUCGACCGGAACUCCGGUGGCGAAGGCGAGGUGCUGGACCCUUUCUGACGCUGAGGCGCGAAAGCCAGGGGAGCAAACGGGAUUAGAUACCCCGGUAGUCCUGGCCCUAAACGUUGAGGACUAGGUAGUGGACUUACAUGGGUUCACUGUCGAAGCAAAAGUGCUAAGUCCUCCGCCUGGGGAGUAUGGUCGCAAGGCUG